GAUGAACGCUGUCUACAGGCUUAACACAUGCAAGUCGAGGGGAGACGACGGGGAAGCUUGCUUCCCCGGGCGUCGACCGGCGCACGGGUGAGUAACGCGUAUCCAACCUGCCUCUGACUGAGGGAUAACCCGUCGAAAGUCGGCCUAAUACCUCAUGGCAUCGUCUGCGGGCAUCCAACGACGAUUAAAGAUUUCAUCGGUCAGGGAUGGGGAUGCGUCUGAUUAGCUUGUUGGCGGGGUAACGGCCCACCAAGGUUACGAUCAGUAGGGGUUCUGAGAGGAAGGUCCCCCACAUUGGAACUGAGACACGGUCCAAACUCCUACGGGAGGCAGCAGUGAGGAAUAUUGGUCAAUGGGCGGGAGCCUGAACCAGCCAAGUAGCGUGCAGGAUGACGGCCCUAUGGGUUGUAAACUGCUUUUAUGCGGGGAUAAAGUGAGGGACGUGUCCUUCAUUGCAGGUACCGCAUGAAUAAGGACCGGCUAAUUCCGUG
RNAcentral lists this ribosomal RNA (491 nucleotides) under uncultured bacterium. Its description in RNAcentral is "partial 16S ribosomal RNA". It matches the Rfam family "Bacterial small subunit ribosomal RNA", at positions 28 to 507 of the family's 1533-position model. The record is from RNAcentral.